This 917-nucleotide ribosomal RNA is filed under the name uncultured crenarchaeote. RNAcentral's name for it is "bacterial SSU rRNA". It matches the Rfam family "Archaeal small subunit ribosomal RNA", at positions 21 to 903 of the family's 1478-position model. The record is from RNAcentral. Lineage: Archaea; Thermoproteati; Thermoproteota.
CCUUACUGCUAUCGGGGUGGGACUAAGACAUGCUGAGUCGAGCGUCUCUAGCUAUGUUGACUACGCGCGCAGACGGCUCAGUAACACGUGGCUAACCUACCCUCAGGACGAGGAUAAACCCUGGGAAACUGGGGCUAAUACUCGAUAGGUGAGUAUGUCUGGAAUGAUUUCUCACUCAAAGGGCUUUAGAAACAUGCUUCUAAAGUCGCCUGGGCAUGGGGCCGCGUCCGAUCAGGUUGUUGGUGAGGUAAUGGCUCACCAAGCCUAUAACCGGUACGGGCCGUGAGAGCGGUAGCCCGGAGAUGGGUACUGAGACAAGGACCCAGGCCCCCACGGGGGCGCAGCAGUCGCGAAAACUUCCGCAAUGCACGAAAGUGUGACGGGGCUACCCCGAGUGCCACYCCGCUGAGGAUGGCUUUUCCUUGGUAUAAUURGCCGAGGGAAUAAGGAGAGGGGCAAGACUGGUGUCAGCCGCCGCGGUUAAUACCAGCUUCUCCGAGGUGGUAGGGAUGAUUAUUGGGCCUUAAAGCGUUCCGUAGCCGGCUUAGCAAGUCUCCUGUUAAAUUCAGCGACCUAAUCGUUGAGCCGCGGGAGAUACUACUAGGCUAGGAGGCGGGAGAGGUCGACGGUACUUCUGGGGUAGGGGUGAAAUCCUAUAAUCCCGGGAGGACCACCAGUGGCGAAGGCUGUCGACUAGAACGCGCUCGACGGUGAGGGACGAAAGCUGGGGGAGCGAACCGGAUUAGAUACCCGGGUAGUCCCAGCCGUAAACGAUGCGGGCUAGGUGUUGGGGUGGCUACGUGCCACUUCAGUGCCGCAGGGAAGCCAUUAAGCCCGCCGCCUGGGGAGUACGGCCGCAAGGCUGAAACUUAAAGGAAUUGGCGGGGGAGCACCACAAGGCGUGAAGCUUGCGGUUC